This is a long non-coding RNA of Acinonyx jubatus (cheetah), 652 nucleotides long. RefSeq lists it as uncharacterized. The record is from RefSeq and is a predicted model, not a curated record. Lineage: Eukaryota; Metazoa; Chordata; Mammalia; Carnivora; Felidae. The transcript is spliced from 2 exons.
GAUAGGGUGGUAAGCAUUUGUUUUUGUAGUUUAUGACGCAUUAUGUGUAUUUUAAUUUGAUUUAGGUACAUAAUCUAGAAUUUUUUUGCAGGAAAAUGCAGUGAAAUAAUGUGCUGAUGCUAUCUCAUGAGUUUGGUAGAGUGGUAGGUAAGAAGUCUGGAAGAGCAGCUCUUUGAACUUAAGGGGUAACAAACUACUCCUGUGGGUCAAAUCCAGCCUUCUACCUGUUUUUGCAAAUAAAAUUUUAUUCCAACACAAGCAUGCUUAGUUGUUUACAUGUUGCCUAUGGUUGCUUUUGCACUACCAAAUGGCAGAAUUGAGUAAUUAUGACAGAGACUGGCAUGUUUGAGUAUUUAUGGUUACAAAGCCUAAGAUAAUUAUUGGCCCUGUAGGGAAAAAAUCUGCAUGCAGCUCCUGUUCUAGAUUUGGGGAGAAGGAAUGCUGUGUGAAGAAGAAGCUGUUUUUUGGGGCUCCUGAGUGGCUCAGUCAGUGGUUAUGCUUCCGACUUCAGCUCAGGUCAUGAUCUCACACCUGGUGAAUUCAAGCCCUGUGUUGGGCUCUGUGCUGACAGCUCAGAGCCAGCCUGGACCCUGCUUUGGAUUCUGUCUCCCUCUCUCUCUGCCCUUCGCCCACUCGCAAUUCUGUCUCUCUC